CGGGUGAGUAACACGUGGAUAACCUACCUAUAAGACUGGGAUAACUUCGGGAAACCGGAGCUAAUACCGGAUAAUAUAUUGAACCGCAUGGUUCAAUAGUGAAAGACGGUUUUGCUGUCACUUAUAGAUGGAUCCGCGCUGCAUUAGCUAGUUGGUAAGGUAACGGCUUACCAAGGCAACGAUGCGUAGCCGACCUGAGAGGGUGAUCGGCCACACUUGAGCUGAGACACGGUCCAGACUCCUACGGGAGGCAGCAGGU
This 259-nucleotide ribosomal RNA is filed under the name uncultured Staphylococcus sp. RNAcentral describes it as "partial 16S ribosomal RNA". It matches the Rfam family "Bacterial small subunit ribosomal RNA", at positions 103 to 354 of the family's 1533-position model. Lineage: Bacteria; Bacillati; Bacillota; Bacilli; Caryophanales; Staphylococcaceae. The record is from RNAcentral.